UUACUCUUGGAUAGCCUUCCGAAAGGGAGAUUAAUACAAGAUGGUGUUUCAAUUUCGCAUGUAAAUGAAACUAAAGAUUUAU
This 82-nucleotide ribosomal RNA is filed under the name uncultured Bacteroidota bacterium. Its description in RNAcentral is "uncultured Bacteroidetes bacterium partial 16S ribosomal RNA". The record is from RNAcentral. Lineage: Bacteria; Pseudomonadati; Bacteroidota.